AUGCCUGUACCAUAACCGACACAGGUGGGUAGGUAGAGUAUACUAAGGGGCGCGAGAUAACUCUCUCUAAGGAACUCGGCAAAAUGACUCCGUAACUUCGGGAGAAGGAGUGCCUUAUUUAUAAGGUUGCAAUAACAAGAUCCAAGCAACUGUUUAUCAAAAACACAGGUCUCCGCUAAGUCGUAAGACGAUGUAUGGGGGCUGACGCCUGCCUAGUGCCAGAAGGUUAAAGAAGUUGGUUAGUGUAUGCGAAGCUGAUGACUGAAGCCCUGGUGAACGGCGGCCGUAACUAUAACGGUCCUAAGGUAGCGAAAUUCCUUGUCGGGUAAGUUCCGACCCGCACGAAAGGCGUAAUGAUUUGGAUACUGUCUCGGAGAGAGGCUCGGUGAAAUAGACUUGUCUGUGAAGAUGCGGACUACCUGCACCAGGACAGAAAGACCCUAUGAAGCUUUACUGUAACUUGAAAUUGGAAUUGGACUUUGCUUGCGCAGUAUAGGUGGGAAGCGUUGAAGAUAUUCUUGCGGGAGUAUUGGAGCUAUCGGUGAGAUACCACUCUUGUAAUGUUAGAUUUCUAACUUUGAACCAUAAUCUGGUCAAAGAACAGUUUCAGGUGGGCAGUUUGACUGGGGCGGUCGCCUCCCAAAUGGUAACGGAGGCGUACAAAGGUUUCCUCUGAACGGAUAGAAAUCGUAUCUAGAGUGUAAAGGCAUAAGGAAGCUUGACUGUGAGACCUACAAGUCGAGCAGGGACGAAAGUCGGUCUUAGUGAUCUGACGGUACUGAGUGGAAAGGCCGUCACUCAACGGAUAAAAGUUACUCUAGGAUAACAGGCUGAUCUCCCCCAAGAGUUCACAUCGACGGGGAGGUUUGGCACCUCGAUGUCGGCUCAUCGCAUCCUGGGGCGGUAGUACGUCCCAAGGGUUGGGCUGUUCGCCCAUGAAAGCGGUACGCGAGCUGGGUUCAGAACGUCGUGAGACAGUUCGGUCCAUAUCCGGUGUAGGCGUUAGAAUAUUGAGAGGAGCCUUCUUUAGUACGAGAGGACCGAGAAGGACACACCGCUGGUGUACCAGUUAUCGUGCCAACGGUAAACGCUGGGUAGCUAUGUGUGGAGUGGAUAACCGCUGAAAGCAUCUAAGUGGGAAGCCCACCUCAAGAUGAGUAUUCUCAUCACUAUAAGUGAGUAAGGUCACGGUAAGACUAACCGUUUGAUAGGCAUUAAGUGUAAAUGUAGUAAUGCAUGUGCUGAGAUGUCCUAACAGACCGAGGACUUGAAUC
RNAcentral lists this ribosomal RNA (1274 nucleotides) under metagenome. Its description in RNAcentral is "bacterial LSU rRNA". It matches the Rfam family "Bacterial large subunit ribosomal RNA", at positions 1638 to 2925 of the family's 2925-position model. The record is from RNAcentral.